AGAGUUUGAUCAUGGCUCAGGAUGAACGCUAGCGGCAGGCUUAAUACAUGCAAGACGAACGGUAAGCUUUGUAGCAAUACAAAGCCUAGAGUGUCGUAAGGGUGCGUAACACGUAUGCAAUCUGCCCUGUACAGGAGUAUAGCUCCCCGAAAGGGGAAUUAACCCUCCAUAGGAUCGUAUGGUGGCAUCACCAAGCGAUUAAAACUGAGGUGGUACAGGAUGAGCAUGCGUCUGACUAGCUAGUUGGCGGGGUAACGGCCCACCAAGGCGAUGAUCAGUAGGGGAACUGAGAGGUUGAUCCCCCACACUGGCACUGAGAUACGGGCCAGACUCCUACGGGAGGCAGCAGUAGGGAAUAUUGGACAAUGGGUGAGAGCCUGAUCCAGCCAUGCCGCGUGCAGGAUGACGGCCUUCUGGGUUGUAAACUGCUUUUAUCUGGGGAUAAAAAGGCCUUGCGAGGCAAACUGAAGGUACCAGAUGAAUAAGCCACGGCUAACUACGUGCCAGCAGCCGCGGUAAUACGUAGGUGGCAAGCGUUGUCCGGAUUUAUUGGGUUUAAAGGGUGCGUAGGCGGUUUAUUAAGUCAGUGGUGAAAGACGAUAGCUUAACUAUCGAGGUGCCAUUGAUACUGAUGAACUUGAGUGCAGUCGAAGUAGGCGGAAUGGACGGUGUAGCGGUGAAAUGCAUAGAUAUCGUCCAGAACACCGAUAGUGAAGACAGCUUACUAGGCUGUAACCGACGCUGAGGCACGAAAGUGUGGGGAUCAAACAGGAUUAGAUACCCUGGUAGUCC
RNAcentral lists this ribosomal RNA (792 nucleotides) under uncultured bacterium. RNAcentral describes it as "bacterial SSU rRNA". It matches the Rfam family "Bacterial small subunit ribosomal RNA", at positions 8 to 796 of the family's 1533-position model. The record is from RNAcentral.